Molecule: ribosomal RNA, 440 nt
Filed under: uncultured bacterium
Lineage: Bacteria
Description: partial 16S ribosomal RNA
Rfam family: Bacterial small subunit ribosomal RNA
Source: RNAcentral
CCUACGGUAGGCAGCAGUGGGGAAUAUUGCACAAUGGGGGGAACCCUGAUGCAGCGACGCCGCGUGAGUGAAGAAGUAUUUCGGUAUGUAAAGCUCUAUUAGCAGGGAAGAAAAUGACGGUACCUGACUACGAAGCCCCGGCUAACUACGUGCCAGCAGCCGCGGUAAUACGUAGGGGGCAAGCGUUAUCCGGAUUUACUGGGUGUAAAGGGAGCGUAGACGGUUAUGCAAGUCUGAAGUGAAAGCCUAAGGCUCAACCAUGGGACUGCUUUGGAAACUGUAAGACUGGAGUGCAGGAGAGGUAAGCGGAAUUCCUGGUGUAGCGGUGAAAUGCGUAGAUAUGAGGAGGAACACCAGUGGCGAAGGCGGCUUACUGGACUGUAACUGACGUUGAGGCUCGAAAGCGUGGGGAGCAAACAGGAUUAGAUACCCCUGUAGUC